Molecule: long non-coding RNA, 1258 nt
Filed under: Equus asinus (donkey)
Lineage: Eukaryota; Metazoa; Chordata; Mammalia; Perissodactyla; Equidae
Description: lncRNA (ENSEASG00005026447.1)
Source: RNAcentral
GUGAAAUAUAGUAAUAAAGUCUUUGGGAAAAAUUGUGUUUGAUGAGUAAGGGGACCUCCAAAGUUACCCUGGAGUUUGGCAAAUAUUAUUUGUGUCAAUUGAAGAGUUUCAGUCUAUAUUUGAAAGGAAACUUCUUGUUUUGUUGUUUGUUGUUUUUGUUGUUGCUGCUGCUGUGGUUUCUGUUGUUGUUGUCUUUCCUCUUCCUCUUCCCCCUCCUCCUCUUUCUUCUUCUUCCUCCUCCUCUCUUCUUUCCUUCUUUUUCUUUUCCUCAUCACUAUUUACAUCACCCUUUUCCAGUUCUUUCAGUGUUUCAUCAAGUGCCAAGGGGUUCUUUCAAAAUACACUAUUUCGACACUAAAAGUAUACACCAAUUGUCUCUGUUAGGAUUAUAUUUGCCUGCAUGGAAUGGAAAAUUCCAGAACAAUGUGAUGUAAACAUACAAGGGCUCAUGAUCUCACAUUGAGGACAUCCAAGGUCAGCCGUCCAGGUGUCAUCAACCUGACAAGUAGAAGGAGGGAGAGAUAAGGUCACACAUCAAACUACUGGCAGAACUUGGACAGCUGGAAAACAAGACGCAUUUUGUAACUUGAACAACAGAACUCCAAAUGAUUUCUAAAUUUAGCUCAUUUUGAACUUGCUUUUUUUCUCCUUAUCUUCUUUUUUCCGAUUUCUUUCUGCUCUUGUUGGUUUUAUCUUCCCUUUGCAGCAUCCAUGUAAUGAAAUGCACUGCUUGGUCCUUUUCAUGAGGAAGACAGAAGGUGUCAGAAACACAGAAGUCGCUAUCUCUGAGAUGGAUCUUGCAAGACUCAGACCUCCAUGCUCUGGUCUGGAUAUCCCUCAGUGAAAAAGGAGGCCAGCAGUACCUCCCACUGGGGACCAGGAGCCUGCCAGUACAGGAUGCAGCCAGUGCACAAAGCUGGGAAGAGAAGGGCAGAAAUGGAUGGAGAAGGAAAGAAGAAUAACUCAGCAGCACAGCUAUGUCAGCUUGUGAACCCAGCUCUAACCAAUCUGAAAGGUUAUAUCUACUCCUCUACUCACCUUUCAUAUUUAUGAGUGUGCGUGGUCAGAGACCUCUAGGUAAGAACCUGUAGGUAAGACGCUGUUCCCCUUCAAACUUGAUGACCCCUGUCCCUUAGCAACUGGUUCCCCGAUACCGUGAAUUUGCAGCAUCAGGUGUUUCUCCUUGUGGCAAACCCUCCCUCUGGCCUCAUUCAUCUCAUCAUCUUUUUUUUUUUAAAGAUUUUAUUUUUUUCCUUUU